Molecule: ribosomal RNA, 489 nt
Filed under: uncultured bacterium
Lineage: Bacteria
Description: partial 16S ribosomal RNA
Rfam family: Bacterial small subunit ribosomal RNA
Source: RNAcentral
UUUAACGCUGGCGGCAGGCCUAACACAUGCAAGUCGAACGGUAACAGGAAGCAGCUUGCUGCUUCGCUGACGAGUGGCGGACGGGUGAGUAAUGUCUGGGAAACUGCCUGAUGGAGGGGGAUAACUACUGGAAACGGUAGCUAAUACCGCAUAACGUCGCAAGACCAAAGAGGGGGACCUUAGGGCCUCUUGCCAUCGGAUGUGCCCAGAUGGGAUUAGCUAGUAGGUGGGGUAACGGCUCACCUAGGCGACGAUCCCUAGCUGGUCUGAGAGGAUGACCAGCCACACUGGAACUGAGACACGGUCCAGACUCCUACGGGAGGCAGCAGUGGGGAAUAUUGCACAAUGGGCGCAAGCCUGAUGCAGCCAUGCCGCGUGUAUGAAGAAGGCCUUCGGGUUGUAAAGUACUUUCAGCGGGGAGGAAGGGAGUAAAGUUAAUACCUUUGCUCAUUGACGUUACCCGCAGAAGAAGCACCGGCUAACUCCGUG